AGUCACUGGGAAGAACCUUCUAAACCCAGAGGCGCAGUGAAGGUGAGAUGAGGGAGAAUUUUUUUUCUUCUCUCGGGGGAGGAUGGCCCGGUGAUGAGCCGGGCCCGCACUCCCGGGGCGUGUCGUAAGGUUUCUACCGAGACACGCACCCAGAGCGUACGCGUUGGGACCCGAAAGAUGGUGAACUAUGCCUGGUCAGGACGAAGUCAGGGGAAACCCUGAUGGAGGUCCGCAGCGAUUCUGACGUGCAAAUCGAUCGUGAGAGCUGGGUAUAGGGGCGAAAGACUAAUCGAACCAUCUAGUAGCUGGUUCCCUCCGAAGUUUCCCUCAGGAUAGCUGGCGCCCGUUUUGACCGGACGAGUCUCAUCCGGUAAAGCGAAUGAUUAGAGGCCUUGGGGCCGAAACGACCUCAACCUAUUCUCAAACUUUAAAUGGGUGAGACCCGCGGCUUUCCCGAGCGAAGCCGUGGAAGAGAGGAUCAGGGUGCCAAGUGGGCCAUUUUUGGUAAGCAGAACUGGCGCUGUGGGAUGAA
RNAcentral lists this ribosomal RNA (532 nucleotides) under Paralatindia sp. MD-2014. RNAcentral's name for it is "eukaryotic LSU rRNA". It matches the Rfam family "Eukaryotic large subunit ribosomal RNA", at positions 689 to 1167 of the family's 3401-position model. Lineage: Eukaryota; Metazoa; Arthropoda; Insecta; Blattodea; Corydiidae. The record is from RNAcentral.